This is a regulatory RNA element of Kitasatospora griseola, 56 nucleotides long. It matches the Rfam family "msiK RNA". The record is from Rfam. Lineage: Bacteria; Bacillati; Actinomycetota; Actinomycetes; Kitasatosporales; Streptomycetaceae.
CAACCCAACCUUUACUCGGAUCGUCCGGCACGUUCCUGCCGGUGAAGGAGCGAAGC